RNAcentral lists this transfer RNA (71 nucleotides) under Paraconger notialis (Guinean conger). RNAcentral describes it as "tRNA-Pro". It matches the Rfam family "tRNA". Rfam says of the family: Transfer RNA (tRNA) molecules are approximately 80 nucleotides in length. Their secondary structure includes four short double-helical elements and three loops (D, anti-codon, and T loops). Further hydrogen bonds mediate the characteristic L-shaped molecular structure. tRNAs have two regions of fundamental functional importance: the anti-codon, which is responsible for specific mRNA codon recognition, and the 3' end, to which the tRNAs corresponding amino acid is attached (by aminoacyl-tRNA synthetases). tRNAs cope with the degeneracy of the genetic code in two manners: having more than one tRNA (with a specific anti-codon) for a particular amino acid; and 'wobble' base-pairing, i.e. permitting non-standard base-pairing at the 3rd anti-codon position. Lineage: Eukaryota; Metazoa; Chordata; Actinopteri; Anguilliformes; Congridae. The record is from RNAcentral.
CAGAGGGUAGUUUAAUUUUAUAAUCUUAGCUUUGGGAGUUAAGGGUGGAAGUUAAAAUCUUCCCCCUCUGA